Molecule: ribosomal RNA, 368 nt
Filed under: uncultured organism
Description: bacterial SSU rRNA
Rfam family: Bacterial small subunit ribosomal RNA
Source: RNAcentral
CGGAGGGUGCAAGCGUUAUCCGGAUUCACUGGGUUUAAAGGGUGCGUAGGUGGCUUUGUAAGUCAGUGGUGAAAUCUCGGAGCUUAACUCCGAAACUGCCAUUGAUACUGCUUAGCUUGAAUCAGGUAGAGGUGGAUGGAAUAUUACAUGUAGCGGUGAAAUGCUUAGAUAUGUAAUAGAACACCGAUUGCGAAGGCAGUUCACUAUGCCUGCAUUGACACUGAGGCACGAAAGCGUGGGGAUCAAACAGGAUUAGAUACCCUGGUAGUCCACGCCCUAAACGAUGUAAACUCGACAUUAGCGAUAUACAGUUAGUGUCCAAGCGAAAGCGUUAAGUUUACCACCUGGGAAGUACGACCGCAAGGUUG